UGGGGAAUAUUGCACAAUGGGGGGAACCCUGAUGCAGCAACGCCGCGUGAGUGAAGAAGUACCUCGGUAUGUAAAGCUCUAUCAGCAGGGAAGAAAAUGACGGUACCUGACCAAGAAGCACCGGCUAAAUACGUGCCAGCAGCCGCGGUAAUACGUAUGGUGCAAGCGUUAUCCGGAUUUACUGGGUGUAAAGGGAGCGCAGGCGGCGCGGCAAGUCAGAUGUGAAAGCCCGGGGCUCAACCCCGGGACUGCAUUUGAAACUGCCGGGCUAGAGUAUCGGAGAGGCAAGUGGAAUUCCUAGUG
RNAcentral lists this ribosomal RNA (303 nucleotides) under uncultured bacterium. Its description in RNAcentral is "bacterial SSU rRNA". It matches the Rfam family "Bacterial small subunit ribosomal RNA", at positions 355 to 675 of the family's 1533-position model. The record is from RNAcentral.